RNAcentral lists this ribosomal RNA (497 nucleotides) under uncultured bacterium. RNAcentral describes it as "partial 16S ribosomal RNA". It matches the Rfam family "Bacterial small subunit ribosomal RNA", at positions 28 to 507 of the family's 1533-position model. The record is from RNAcentral.
GAUGAACGCUGGCGGCGUGCCUAAUACAUGCAAGUCGAGCGAACGGACGAGAAGCUUGCUUCUCUGAUGUUAGCGGCGGACGGGUGAGUAACACGUGGAUAACCUACCUAUAAGACUGGGAUAACUUCGGGAAACCGGAGCUAAUACCGGAUAAUAUUUUGAACCGCAUGGUUAAAAAGUAAAAGACGGUCUUGCUGUCACUUAUAGAUGGAUCCGCGCUGCAUUAGCUAGUUGGUAAGGUAACGGCUUACCAAGGCAACGAUGCAUAGCCGACCUGAGAGGGUGAUCGGCCACACUGGAACUGAGACACGGUCCAGACUCCUACGGGAGGCAGCAGUAGGGAAUCUUCCGCAAUGGGCGAAAGCCUGACGGAGCAACGCCGCGUGAGUGAUGAAGGUCUUCGGAUCGUAAAACUCUGUUAUUAGGGAAGAACAUAUGUGUAAGUAACUGUGCACAUCUUGACGGUACCUAAUCAGAAAGCCACGGCUAACUACGUG